This is a non-coding RNA of Lysinibacillus macroides, 115 nucleotides long. The record is from Rfam. NCBI's taxonomy places the organism in Bacteria, Bacillati, Bacillota, Bacilli, Caryophanales, Bacillaceae.
AGUAUUAACUAGGGGAGUCUGAUGAGUCAGGCUGAGAGGGAAACGCUAAAAAGUUUCUUGACCCUUUGGACCUGAUCUGGCUCAUACCAGCGUGGGAAAGUUAAGAAGCUAUUGC